This 442-nucleotide ribosomal RNA is filed under the name uncultured bacterium. RNAcentral describes it as "partial 16S ribosomal RNA". It matches the Rfam family "Bacterial small subunit ribosomal RNA", at positions 339 to 795 of the family's 1533-position model. The record is from RNAcentral.
CUACGGGGCGCUCCAGUGGGGAAUAUUGGACAAUGGACCAAAAGUCUGAUCCAGCAAUUCUGUGUGCACGAUGACGGUCUUCGGAUUGUAAAGUGCUUUCAGUUGGGAAGAAAAAAAUGACGGUACCAACAGAAGAAGCGACGGCUAAAUACGUGCCAGCAGCCGCGGUAAUACGUAUGUCGCAAGCGUUAUCCGGAUUUAUUGGGCGUAAAGCGCGUCUAGGUGGUUUGAUAAGUCUGAUGUGAAAAUGCGGGGCUCAACUCCGUAUUGCGUUGGAAACUGUCAAACUAGAGUAUCGGAGAGGUGGGCGGAACUACAAGUGUAGAGGUGAAAUUCGUAGAUAUUUGUAGGAAUGCCGAUAGAGAAGUCAGCUCACUGGACGAAUACUGACACUGAAGCGCGAAAGCAUGGGGAGCAAACAGGAUUAGAUACCCCAGUAGUC